Molecule: ribosomal RNA, 369 nt
Filed under: Polycirrus arcticus
Lineage: Eukaryota; Metazoa; Annelida; Polychaeta; Terebellida; Terebellidae
Description: partial large subunit ribosomal RNA
Rfam family: Archaeal large subunit ribosomal RNA
Source: RNAcentral
GCGUGAUAAGUCGCCCUUUAAUUGUGGGCUUGUAUGAACGGAUAAACGAAAGACCAGCUGUCUCUUAAGUAAAAAUAAAAAUUAACCUUCAGGUGAAGAGGCCUGAAUAAAAUUAAAGGACAAGAAGACCCUGUAGAGCUUAGUUUAUUAUUAAGCUAAUAACAAUCUUUAACACACUAUUUAUAUCUUUCAAUAAUAUAUCUUAUAAAAACUUAGCUGGGGCGGCUAAGGAAAUUAAUCUUCCAUUUUCUUCUUCACCUUUAUUCGGUCUUUACACCUAUACAAAUUGACCCUUAAAAGAUCAAAAAAGAAAGCUACCUCAGGGAUAACAGAUUAAUCCUUCUCGAGAGUUCACAUUGACAGAAGGGC